RNAcentral lists this ribosomal RNA (253 nucleotides) under uncultured bacterium. Its description in RNAcentral is "partial 16S ribosomal RNA". It matches the Rfam family "Bacterial small subunit ribosomal RNA", at positions 524 to 776 of the family's 1533-position model. The record is from RNAcentral.
UACAGAGGUCUCAAGCGUUGUUCGGAUUCAUUGGGCGUAAAGGGUGCGUAGGCGGCGCGGUAAGUCGGGUGUGAAAUCUCGGGGCUUAACUCCGAAACUGCAUUCGAUACUGCCGUGCUUGAGGACUGGAGAGGAGACUGGAAUUUACGGUGUAGCGGUGAAAUGCGUAGAUAUCGUAAGGAACACCCGUGGCGAAGGCGGCUCUCUGGUACGUGACUGACGCUGAGACGCGAAAGCGUGGGGAGCGAACAGG